GCUGGAUGCGGUGGUGCACACCUGUAAUCCCAGCAAUUUGGGAGGCUGAGGCAGGAGGAUUGAAAGUUUGAGGCUAGUCUCAGCAAUUUAGGGAGGCCCUAAGUGACUUAGAACUUGUCUCAA
RNAcentral lists this small RNA (123 nucleotides) under Marmota monax (woodchuck). Lineage: Eukaryota; Metazoa; Chordata; Mammalia; Rodentia; Sciuridae. The record is from RNAcentral.